Rhodamnia argentea is the source of this 157-nucleotide long non-coding RNA. RefSeq lists it as uncharacterized. The record is from RefSeq and is a predicted model, not a curated record. Lineage: Eukaryota; Viridiplantae; Streptophyta; Magnoliopsida; Myrtales; Myrtaceae. The transcript has 3 exons.
GAGCAUAAACAACUUACCGACUUCAGCUGGUCAUGUAUGAAAUCCACUAGCUGCUGGCUCGACAUGCAAUCCCUAAACCAAAGUGAAGAAAAUCACAUGACCAUCUCUUUUCCAGAUGCCGAUGACUGCAUCUCAUAUGCCAUGACAUGAUCACCAA